GGAUUCUCAGGUGUUGGUUGCCAUGCAGGGCGUAGCAUUUUGGAGGCCAGAAGAGGGUGCUCUGGCAUGUCCAGUUGAGAUAAGCCUCACCCCACUUGGCCACUGAAGCUGUCAGCCUUCCAGUCUGAAGAACUGGAUGAACCAGAAUGGCUCAAAUGUCAUCUCCUCCAAGAAGCCUUCUCAGACUGCCACCAAAGAGGCCACCAUAUUAUUCUGUCUCCUGAUCCUGUGUAGUUCCUUCAACCCUCUUGUCCCAGUUGAUCUGUUUCAUUGGGGUGUCUUCUUCACCCCAAGGCAUAAGUUUCAAGAAAGAAAAGAAUGUUGUUUGA
This is a long non-coding RNA of Pan troglodytes (chimpanzee), 329 nucleotides long. RefSeq lists it as uncharacterized. The record is from RefSeq and is a predicted model, not a curated record. The transcript has 3 exons. Lineage: Eukaryota; Metazoa; Chordata; Mammalia; Primates; Hominidae.